AGAGUUUGAUUCUGGCUCAGAUUGAACGCUGGCGGUAUGCUUAACACAUGCAAGUCGGACGGUAACAUGGGAGCUUGCUCCUGAUGACGAGUGGCGGACGGGUGAGUAACGCGUAGGAAUCUGCCUCGUAGUGGGGGACAACUUGGGGAAACUCAAGCUAAUACCGCAUACGCCCUAAGGGGGAAAGCGGGGGACCUUCGGGCCUCGCGCUAUGAGAUGAGCCUGCGUUGGAUUAGCUAGUUGGUGGGGUAAAGGCCUACCAAGGCGACGAUCCAUAGCUGGUCUGAGAGGACGAUCAGCCACACUGGGACUGAGACACGGCCCAGACUCCUACGGGAGGCAGCAGUGGGGAAUAUUGGACAAUGGGCGCAAGCCUGAUCCAGCAAUACCGCGUGUGUGAAGAAGGCCUGAGGGUUGUAAAGCACUUUCAAUGGGGAGGAAAAAGCCUGGGUGAAUAGCCUAGGUGUUGACAUUACCCAUAGAAGAAGCACCGGCUAACUCCGUGCCAGCAGCCGCGGUAAUACGGAGGGUGCGAGCGUUAAUCGGAAUUACUGGGCGUAAAGCGUGCGUAGGCGGUUAUUUAAGUCAGAUGUGAAAGCCCCGGGCUUAACCUGGGAAUUGCAUUUGAUACUGGGUGACUAGAGUUUAAUAGAGGGGAGUGGAAUUUCAGGUGUAGCGGUGAAAUGCGUAGAGAUCUGAAGGAACACCAGUGGCGAACGCGGCUCUCUGGAUUAAAACUGACGCUGAGUACGAAAGCGUGGGUAGCAAACAGGAUUAGAUACCCUGGUAGUCCACGCCGUAAACGAUGUCAACUAGCCGUUGGGUUUUAUUAAUGAACUUAGUGGUGCAGCUAACGCAUUAAGUUGACCGCCUGGGGAGUACGGCCGCAAGUUAAAACUCAAUGAAUUGACGG
This 913-nucleotide ribosomal RNA is filed under the name uncultured bacterium. RNAcentral's name for it is "bacterial SSU rRNA". It matches the Rfam family "Bacterial small subunit ribosomal RNA", at positions 8 to 916 of the family's 1533-position model. The record is from RNAcentral.